RNAcentral lists this ribosomal RNA (445 nucleotides) under uncultured bacterium. Its description in RNAcentral is "bacterial SSU rRNA". It matches the Rfam family "Bacterial small subunit ribosomal RNA", at positions 331 to 793 of the family's 1533-position model. The record is from RNAcentral.
CCAGACUCCUACGGGAGGCAGCAGUGGGGAAUAUUGCACAAUGGGGGGAACCCUGAUGCAGCGACGCCGCGUGGGUGAAGGAGUACUUCGGUACGUAAAGCCCUAUCAGCAGGAAAGAAAAUGACGGUACCUGACUAAGAAGCCCCGGCUAACUACGUGCCAGCAGCCGCGGUAAUACGUAGGGGGCAAGCGUUAUCCGGAUUUACUGGGUGUAAAGGGAGCGUAGACGGCUGGCCAAGUCUGAAGUGAAAGCCCGGGGCUUAACCCCGGAACGGCUUUGGAAACUGGCCGGCUGGAGUGCUGGAGAGGCAGGCGGAAUUCCUGGUGUAGCGGUGAAAUGCGUAGAUAUCAGGAGGAACACCGGUGGCGAAGGCGGCCUGCUGGACAGUAACUGACGUUGAGGCUCGAAAGCGUGGGGAGCAAACAGGAUUAGAUACCCGAGUAC